CGAGUUAGAAUAGUUACGUCUAUUUGGAGUUUUAAUACCAGAAUUAUCAUUGGAUGAAUUAAUGGUUGUUCCAACUCUAGGGAGUUCUUCAUAUAAAUGCGCUUGUGUCUUCAUGCGAACCUCCUCUCUCUUACGACGUAAAAACUCUAUGGCUCUUCUUUGCGCCUCUUCGAAUCCAAGCUUUCUUGCGGAAAAUGUCUUUGACCUUCUUUGAUUAUCUUCCUUCCAAAAUGCAAGCCAAGCCAUCUGGCGAUUCGACCAUGAAACACCUUUACACCCUGACUUUGGAUUUAAAAGACGGUUCAUAGCAUCCUGUCUAGAAGAUGAGUUGCCUUCAUUAUCAUGAGUAUUAUCCCCCGUAUCGUCGCUAUCACUUCCAU
RNAcentral lists this non-coding RNA (380 nucleotides) under Cryptosporidium parvum. The record is from RNAcentral. Lineage: Eukaryota; Apicomplexa; Conoidasida; Eucoccidiorida; Cryptosporidiidae.